Molecule: transfer RNA, 73 nt
Filed under: Caldifarciminota bacterium
Lineage: Bacteria; Pseudomonadati; Caldifarciminota
Description: candidate division WOR-3 bacterium (hot springs metagenome) tRNA-Ala
Rfam family: tRNA
About the family: Transfer RNA (tRNA) molecules are approximately 80 nucleotides in length. Their secondary structure includes four short double-helical elements and three loops (D, anti-codon, and T loops).
Source: RNAcentral
GGGGCCGUGGCGCAGCUGGUAGCGCUUCUGACUGGCAGUCAGGAGGUCACGGGUUCAAGUCCCGUCGGCUCCA